This 562-nucleotide ribosomal RNA is filed under the name Debaryomyces hansenii. RNAcentral describes it as "eukaryotic LSU rRNA". It matches the Rfam family "Eukaryotic large subunit ribosomal RNA", at positions 90 to 667 of the family's 3401-position model. Lineage: Eukaryota; Fungi; Ascomycota; Pichiomycetes; Serinales; Debaryomycetaceae. The record is from RNAcentral.
CGAGUGAAGCGGCAAAAGCUCAAAUUUGAAAUCUGGCACCUUCGGUGUCCGAGUUGUAAUUUGAAGAAGGUAACUUUGGAGUUGGCUCUUGUCUAUGUUCCUUGGAACAGGACGUCACAGAGGGUGAGAAUCCCGUGCGAUGAGAUGCCCAAUUCUAUGUAAAGUGCUUUCGAAGAGUCGAGUUGUUUGGGAAUGCAGCUCUAAGUGGGUGGUAAAUUCCAUCUAAAGCUAAAUAUUGGCGAGAGACCGAUAGCGAACAAGUACAGUGAUGGAAAGAUGAAAAGAACUUUGAAAAGAGAGUGAAAAAGUACGUGAAAUUGUUGAAAGGGAAGGGCUUGAGAUCAGACUUGGUAUUUUGCGAUCCUUUCCUUCUUGGUUGGGUUCCUCGCAGCUUACUGGGCCAGCAUCGGUUUGGAUGGUAGGAUAAUGACUAAGGAAUGUGGCUCUACUUCGGUGGAGUGUUAUAGCCUUGGUUGAUACUGCCUGUCUAGACCGAGGACUGCGUCUUUUGACUAGGAUGUUGGCAUAAUGAUCUUAAGCCACCCGUCUUGAAACACGGACC